RNAcentral lists this ribosomal RNA (638 nucleotides) under Salmonella enterica subsp. enterica. RNAcentral describes it as "partial 23S ribosomal RNA". It matches the Rfam family "Bacterial large subunit ribosomal RNA", at positions 2164 to 2801 of the family's 2925-position model. The record is from RNAcentral. Lineage: Bacteria; Pseudomonadati; Pseudomonadota; Gammaproteobacteria; Enterobacterales; Enterobacteriaceae.
GUGGACGCCAGUCUGCGUGGAGCCGACCUUGAAAUACCACCCUUUAAUGUUUGAUGUUCUAACGUGGACCCGUUACCCGGGUUGCGGACAGUGUCUGGUGGGUAGUUUGACUGGGGCGGUCUCCUCCUAAAGAGUAACGGAGGAGCACGAAGGUUGGCUAAUCCUGGUCGGACAUCAGGAGGUUAGUGCAAUGGCAUAAGCCAGCUUGACUGCGAGCGUGACGGCGCGAGCAGGUGCGAAAGCAGGUCAUAGUGAUCCGGUGGUUCUGAAUGGAAGGGCCAUCGCUCAACGGAUAAAAGGUACUCCGGGGAUAACAGGCUGAUACCGCCCAAGAGUUCAUAUCGACGGCGGUGUUUGGCACCUCGAUGUCGGCUCAUCACAUCCUGGGGCUGAAGUAGGUCCCAAGGGUAUGGCUGUUCGCCAUUUAAAGUGGUACGCGAGCUGGGUUUAGAACGUCGUGAGACAGUUCGGUCCCUAUCUGCCGUGGGCGCUGGAGAACUGAGGGGGGCUGCUCCUAGUACGAGAGGACCGGAGUGGACGCAUCACUGGUGUUCGGGUUGUCAUGCCAAUGGCACUGCCCGGUAGCUAAAUGCGGAAGAGAUAAGUGCUGAAAGCAUCUAAGCACGAAACUUGCCCCG